Molecule: long non-coding RNA, 2306 nt
Filed under: Homo sapiens (human)
Lineage: Eukaryota; Metazoa; Chordata; Mammalia; Primates; Hominidae
Description: HSALNT0043831
Source: RNAcentral
GUUGGUAGAUUCAGCUGUGCUGGGCAUCCUGGCUGAGUAACAGAGACAGUGAAUGUAAACAAUUAAGAUGUUCUAAUAAAGGAACCCAAAGAGGGUCCCAGAGGCUAGAAUAUCUACCUCCUGGGGGCAAACAGAGGUUUCCUAAGAACAUGUCAUCUGAGCAGAGUCCUCAAGUAAGACUAGGAGUUGCAUGGGGAGAGGAGGGGAAGGUAGGCCUGCAGACGGCUAGGUGAGCACAGGCACGGGGUGUGGAACAUUUAGCUUAUGGCAAGAGCAGAGGGUACAAAGGAAGGAGAGAGAGGAGGUGGGAUGGGAAGGUCAAUUGUGCCAACUAAGAUUUUUUUCCUGUAGUAAGGGGGAGGGAGGGCCUGAAGGACUUUAAACAGGUGAGCCAUGCAAUCAGCUGUGCUUUGGGAGGAUAGCUCUGGUGGUGACAUGGAGCCUUGAGGAUGGGACUAUACGCAUGAGACUGGGAUCAGAGUGGAGGCAGCUGGCAAGGAGGCAGUCAGGAGACCCUACUAAUAUAGGGAAUCCAAAUGAAGGAGAAAAAUCAUGAUGGCACAGCUAGAAACUAAUAGAGAAGAAAAAAUACCCCAGGCAUUUUGGCCUUGUUUUACAACAUAUUUCUUAGCUUUUUGAUGGCAAUGGAAGCUUUUUUGAAGUUGUCUUUUGUUUCCUGCCUUUACUGUAUGCUCUGAAUUCCCUUCUCUUUCAUGCUUUUUGGUUUGCAUCUAUUCUUUCAUAUUGGAGGCUUUGCUCAAACAUUCUGUGGACCUUAUCUGUUUGCAUAUAUUUAAAUGCAAGGCACUGAAAGACAAAAGACCUAUUCAAGGCAGAGUACAAAGUGGACCAGGGCAGGCUGAUUUCUCAACCUCUCUGUCGUGAGUUGACUCGUGUACUCCCAAAAGCUAUGUUGAAGUUCUAACCCCGGUACCUGUGAAUGUGGCCAUGUUUGGAAAUAGGGUCUUUGCAGAUGUUAGUUAUCAAGGUUUUCUUAGUGUGAAAUAUGAACUCAUGAGCAUCUGGCCUGGGAACUGGACCAGUUUUAAAUCUCGUGUUGAGAGCCGGAAGAUGCUGGAGAAGGAAUGUGGUGGAAUGACUGCCUGAGAAUGAACCAUUCUCCAGUGAGAGGGGGCUUCGAUAUUGAAAGGGCAAUUUGGCCUUAACUUGGAAAUGCUGGAGAUUGAUUGCAUACAAUCUGUCCUGCUAGUGAGAGAAGCAAGGACUGCAUCUAAGUGCAACAUGAAGACUUUUGGUCCCAAGCUUUCCUCCAACUUCAGUGGGAGGCAGCCCAAAACCACCGUCGGUUCAAGAAUACAAGUGACCUGCAAUUCUUGGAAAGACUCCCCCAAUUCUUCUCCCAAUAUGUGGUCAGCUUUUCCAGCAGGAUUAGGUUCGGGAGGGAGGAGUUUCAGCUGUGCUUCUAAGAUCUUCCAGAAUGAAUUUUCUACCUCAAAAAUCAAGGACUUUUCUGGAAACUGCAGUCAGAGGACAGAACAUCAGCCUCAAGCUGGUAAAUAGGAUGGAUUUUCUCCCUAAACAUCCCUUCUGCUUUCUAGUUUGAAUUAUCAAUAAAAUGGUUUGGCUUAUCUCUGAAAAUAACCUUGUUGACAACACAAAUAUGGAUUUAAACACGCUACCUCCACAUUAAGAUUUAAGAAGCCCCCAGUAAAUGUCAGGGGGUGUCAAUGUGUUUGCUGUGAUACUUGGUUAUUAUUAGUGUUUAACUGCAAUUCCCCACCAGCGCCACGCUGCCUGCACCACCAUAAAUUUUAAUGUGAUCAUGUGCUCUUCUCUUUUCAUAUCCAGUGAAUUCUGCAAGAUCAUAAUAUUCUAUAUGAACCCUAGCUGAACCUUAGUGUGAUAUGAAGAAAGAACAAGAUUUCAAGCAAUAAUAGUUGUUCACCAUUUUAUAGCUUUUUUUAACUGGACACUGAGCAACAUGGUUCCUUGAAUAAUAUUACCCUAAACUAAAUUCACUCAUUCAAUUAAUCUUUAUUGAUACCCUACAGGAUGCAGGGCAUGGCUCAAAGUGCUAAUGAGUACAUUUAUGGGAUAGUAAAGAAUACUGACUCUUAAAGAAAUCUUUUUUUUUCCCCUUGGAAAAUCUGUCAGAGCUCAUACAUCAUUUAUAAAACCGAAAAAAAUGUCUCUGCAACCUUGGCACCACUACAUGCCUUUUAUUUUACAGAAUACAAACAAAAGCAGAGUCAUUUCCGAUAUCUAGUCUACAUCGUGAAUAUAAGAAAUAUGUCCCUCAUCUUUUAUCAUGUAUUUAUAGUUAUAAUUUAUUUAUUAUGUAUGUG